CCUACGGGGGGCAGCAGUGAGGAAUAUUGGUCAAUGGGCGCUAGCCUGAACCAGCCAAGUAGCGUGAAGGAUGACUGCCCUAUGGGUUGUAGACUUCUUUUAUAGGGGAAUAAAGUGCAGUAUGUAUACUGCUUUGCAUGUACCUUAUGAAUAAGGAUCGGCUAACUCCGUGCCAGCAGCCGCGGUAAUACGGAGGAUUCGAGCGUUAUCCGGAUUUAUUGGGUUUAAAGGGUGCGUAGGCGGGGUGUUAAGUCAGUUGUGAAAUUUUGGGGCUCAACCCUAACAUUGCAGUUGAUACUGGCAGCCUUGAGUACGGUAGAGGUAGGCGGAAUUCGCGGUGUAGCGGUGAAAUGCUUAGAUAUCACGAAGAACUCCGAUUGCGAAGGCAGCCUGCUGGACUGUAACUGACGCUGAUGCUCGAAAGUGUGGGUAUCAAACAGGAUUAGAUACCCGGGUAGUC
RNAcentral lists this ribosomal RNA (460 nucleotides) under uncultured bacterium. Its description in RNAcentral is "partial 16S ribosomal RNA". It matches the Rfam family "Bacterial small subunit ribosomal RNA", at positions 338 to 795 of the family's 1533-position model. The record is from RNAcentral.